This 1317-nucleotide unclassified non-coding RNA is filed under the name Hevea brasiliensis (rubber tree). The record is from RNAcentral. Lineage: Eukaryota; Viridiplantae; Streptophyta; Magnoliopsida; Malpighiales; Euphorbiaceae.
GGCUUGAAGUCUCCACUUUCUUUCAAUGAGGUCAUAUAUGCUCUUCCCAUGCUGACCAUUUUGACUGACAAAGGCACUGGCAUUGUGACCAGUGUACCUAGUGAUGCCCCUGAUGACUAUAUGGCAUUGCAUGAUUUGAAAGUAAAACCAGCUUUCAGGGCAAAGUAUGGUGUGAAAGAUGAAUGGGUAAUGCCCUUUGAUAUUGUACCGAUCAUUGAUAUUCCAGAAUAUGGAGAUAGGGCAGCUGAAAAAGUUUGCAUGGAUUUGAAAAUUAAGAGCCAAAAUGAGAAAGAGAAGCUUGCUGAAGCAAAGAGGUUAACCUACCUGAGAGGAUUCACAGAGGGGACAAUGCUUGUUGGUGAAUUUGCAGGGAGAAAAGUCCAGGAAGCAAAGCCAUUGAUUAGGGCCAAGCUCAUUGAGAUUGGUGAGGCAGUUAUGUAUAGUGAACCUGAGAAGCGGGUUGUGUCAAGGUCUGGUGAUGAAUGUGUUGUGGCACUUACUGACCAAUGGUACAUUACAUAUGGGGAAGAAGAAUGGAAGAAAUUGGCUGAAGAAUGCUUAUCCGAUAUGAAUCUCUACUGUGAUGAGACACGACAUGGUUUUGAGCACACAUUGAGCUGGUUAAAUCAGUGGGCUUGUUCACGAUCUUUUGGGCUUGGGACUCGCAUUCCCUGGGAUAAAGAUUUCCUUGUUGAAUCCUUGUCUGAUUCCACUAUCUACAUGGCUUAUUACACUGUUGCUCACCUGCUUCAUAAUGAUGACAUGUAUGGUACAAACAAGCCUCAUCCUAUUCAGUCUGAGCAAAUGACUGAUGAGGUCUGGGAUUUUAUCAUCUGUGGUGGUCCAUACCCCAAAUCAUCUACUAUACCUUCAUCUACACUAGAUAAGAUGAAGCAGGAAUUUGAAUAUUGGUACCCAUUUGAUCUUCGAGUCUCUGGUAAGGACCUCAUACAGAAUCAUUUGACAUUCAGCAUUUACAACCAUACUGCAAUCAUGGCCAAGCACCAUUGGCCUCGUGGAUUCAGGUGUAAUGGGCACAUUAUGCUCAAUUCUGAAAAGAUGAGCAAGUCUACUGGAAAUUUUAGGACAAUUCGGCAAGCUAUUGAGGAAUUCUCUGCUGAUGCAACACGAUUUUCUCUUGCUGAUGCUGGGGAUGGUGUUGAUGAUGCGAACUUUGUAUUUGAAACUUCAAAUGCUGCAAUCCUCCGCCUCACUAAAGAGAUUUCAUGGAUGGAGGAGGUUUUGGCUGCAGAAUCAUCUCUGAGAACAGGUCCCCCAUCUACUUAUGCUGAUCAAGUGUUUGCAAAUGAGAUGAAU